UGGGAGCCUGCACUCCACAGACCCUCUCCUUGCCUCUUCCCUCACCUCAGCCUCCGCUCCCCGCCCUCUUCCCGGCCCAGGGCGCCGGCCCACCCUUCCCUCCGCCGCCCCCCGGCCGCGGGGAGGACAUGGCCGCGCACAGGCCGGUGGAAUGGGUCCAGGCCGUGGUCAGCCGCUUCGACGAGCAGUUUCUUCAGCUUCCUCUCCUGGAGGGGGAAGAGCAGAAGCAAGCGGGGAAGAGCAGAAGAAAGCAAGGAAGGCACAGGUUUUCUUACUUUCUGCUCCAUCGUCUCAUCCUGCCCCGAGAGCUUCAAGUGCACACUCACUGCACAUCUUUGUGAUGCCCUACAACGUCGUCCCCCAUAUCCUGAUGACACAGACUGCCUUUUUUUUUUUUUAUUGCCGUUUGCAGUGGAAACCGUGGUUCUGAAAUAUCUUCCCCUUCCUUGAUAAUUGCAGUCUCUUCCCCCCCCCCCCUUUUUUUUUGCCAGCGGUCUGGGGAUGUGAUGCAUUCUCGAGUGAGAAUGUUGGGGAGUAAAGGGGAGAAGGGUGAAAGGAAAGUGAGAAACUGCUUCAGAGCCACCGACAACAGAGCAAAGCCAGCUGGGAUGUGGUCCUGGAGCGGAUCAUUCUGCUAGUGUUUGUGGUUGUUUUUGACUCUCUCCUGGUUGACAAGAGAACUUUCACUGAGAAUAUUUGGGAUGAAAAAAAAGUUUUGUAGCUUGAGGAGGUGACUUUUUAUCGCCUGAGUUUCACACAAUAAAUCCUGGGGCUGAUUAGAAUAAAUGCACACAUAGCCUUUUGUCAGUGGAAAUUGGUUUAACUUUGUGUUGCUGUAGGUAGUUGGGGAUGGUUUAAGGGAUGCUUUCUGCAGCUGUGGGUGCAGUGGGCUUCCUGUGAUGGGGGAAUUGUUUAAGAUUGAGUCAACCUAUUUUGUUUACUGAAUAUAAUGGUAAAACAUUAUGGGAGCUGAAGGGGUGGGGGAAGAGCUCUUCUGUUAUUUGAUGCAUAAACAUUUCUUUACGGGACUCAGAGCGUUUCAGACCUACCUGGAAAAUAUCUUGGAAUAGACAGAGGAAGUUGAGAAGAAGCUAUGUAGAUAAAAUAGAGUUAUGAAGCUGUCAGAGACUUGAAGGAAUUGUUUUAUCCAUUCG
Molecule: long non-coding RNA, 1154 nt
Filed under: Pan troglodytes (chimpanzee)
Lineage: Eukaryota; Metazoa; Chordata; Mammalia; Primates; Hominidae
Description: long non-coding RNA NONPTRT007187
Source: RNAcentral